AAUCCGGUUGAUCCUGCCGGAGGCUACCGCUAUUGGAGUUCGAUUAAGCCAUGCGAGUCGCGAGUCUUAGGGACUCGGCGUACCGCUCAGUAACACGUGGGUAACCUGCCCUAUGCUGGGGGAUAACCUCGGGAAACUGAGAAUAAUACCCCAUAGUUCACCACGCCUGGAACGGUGGGUGGACCAAAGCUCCGGCGGCAUAGGAUGGGCCUGCGGCGUAUCAGGUUGUAGGGGGUGUAAUGUACCCUCUAGCCCUCUACGCGUACGGGUGUUGAGAGACAUCGCCCGGAGAUGGAUUCUGAGACACGAAUCCAGACCCUACGGGGUGCAGCAGGCGCGAAAACUUGGCAAUGCGAGAAAUCGUGACCAGGGAACUCCAAGUGCAUCGGGUAAGACCGAUGCUUUUCUUGACUCUUCAAAGGUCUUGGAAUAAGGGGUGGGUAAGGACGGUGCCAGCCGCCGCGGUAAUACCGGCGCCCCAAGUGGUAGUCGCUUUUAUUGGGCCUAAAACGUCCGUAGCCGGUUUGGUACAUUCGUGGGUAAAUCAAGGCGCUCAACGCCUUGAAUUCUGCGAGCACGGCCAGACUUGGGACCGGGAGAGGUGUGGGGUACUCUCAGGGUAGGGGUAAAAUCCUGUCAUCCUGAGAGGACCACCUGUUGCGAAGGCGCCACACUAGAACGGAUCCGACGGUCAGGGACGAAGCCUAGGGGCACGAACCGGAUUAGAUACCCGGGUAGUCCUAGGUGUAAACGCUGUGGACUUGAUGUUGGGAGUGCUCCGAGCACCCUCAGUGUCGAAGCGAAGGUGAUAAGUCCACUGCCUGGGGAGUACGGUCGCAAGGCUGAAACUUAAAGGAAUUGGCGGGGGAGCACCGCAACCUGAGGAUUGUGCGGUUUAAUUGGAUUCAACGCCGGAAAACUCACCAUAGCCGACGGACAUAUGAAGGCCAGCGUAAUGAGCUUGCUGGAUUGUUCGAGAGGUAGUGCAUGGCCGUCGUCAGUUCGUACCGCAAGG
Molecule: ribosomal RNA, 1015 nt
Filed under: Candidatus Thalassarchaeum sp.
Lineage: Archaea; Methanobacteriati; Thermoplasmatota; Candidatus Poseidoniia; Candidatus Poseidoniales; Candidatus Thalassarchaeaceae
Description: bacterial SSU rRNA
Rfam family: Archaeal small subunit ribosomal RNA
Source: RNAcentral